This 815-nucleotide long non-coding RNA is filed under the name Sorghum bicolor (sorghum). RNAcentral describes it as "long non-coding RNA (SBIC_LNC005713)". Lineage: Eukaryota; Viridiplantae; Streptophyta; Magnoliopsida; Poales; Poaceae. The record is from RNAcentral.
AGAAGCGAAAUACUCGAGGAGCAAGCUGUAGAACGCAGAAAUCCUGAGCAACACCCCCAAUGGUGGCUUGGAGGAGGAGACCCACUGAGAGAGGGCAAAGACGGAACUUGCAACGACCAAAAGAAGCAACUAGAAAGAAAACACCAGAAGAAAUCCCCGAAGGAGAGACUGAAAGACCGAACCUCUGAUUGAUGGCAGCUUGGACCCCAAUACCUGGGCGAAAAUUGAGGCCAGAGAGCUCCAGCGGGGCUAGAAGAGGCUUGCUUAGAUGCGCCAUGAGAGAUCUUCAGUCAAGGAUAGCACUCCAUCCUGAUUGACCAUUCUGGUAAAACGUCGAACAACUUGGGUGCAAGUUCGGUAGAGAGCAGCUCCGGCGGAGACGUUAAGGCGGACGUGACGACGAGCAGCGAGCCGGAGAUGUGGCACAGCACACACAUGUGACAGGCCGAAGAAUUUUGGAGCGCGUUGGCAUUCUUGAGGCUGAUGUAGGCCAGACUUAUCUAGGCCUUGUUUAUUAUAGUCUAUAAAGAGACAAAAUUUCACUCCACCUUUUGUCCCCUAGAAUUGAAAUCGGACAGUCUGUUUCAACGCUUAUGGAGAGGAAAAAGAGUAUAAAUUUUUUUCUAAGGUUCUCAAUAUAAAAUCUUCUAUUAUUGACAAAGUACAGAAGUCUAGGUGCAAACUAUUUGUCCUAUUAGCUCACUUUUAUUUUAUUCUUUAAUUCGGCUGAAAAUUGAUAAAUGCGUAAUAAUUCAUAGAAAAAUCUAAAAAUUACAAAAUAAUUUUUGUUCAACUCCACAUAUGUAGAUCCAUGC